RNAcentral lists this ribosomal RNA (253 nucleotides) under uncultured bacterium. RNAcentral's name for it is "partial 16S ribosomal RNA". It matches the Rfam family "Bacterial small subunit ribosomal RNA", at positions 524 to 776 of the family's 1533-position model. The record is from RNAcentral.
UACGUAGGGUGCGAGCGUUGUCCGGAAUUAUUGGGCGUAAAGAGCUCGUAGGCGGUUUGUCGCGUCGGAUGUGAAAGCCCGGGGCUUAACCCCGGGUCUGCAUUCGAUACGGGCAGACUAGAGUUCGGUAGGGGAGAUCGGAAUUCCUGGUGUAGCGGUGAAAUGCGCAGAUAUCAGGAGGAACACCGGUGGCGAAGGCGGAUCUCUGGGCCGAUACUGACGCUGAGGAGCGAAAGCGUGGGGAGCGAACAGG